This 208-nucleotide ribosomal RNA is filed under the name uncultured bacterium. Its description in RNAcentral is "partial 16S ribosomal RNA". It matches the Rfam family "Bacterial small subunit ribosomal RNA", at positions 568 to 774 of the family's 1533-position model. The record is from RNAcentral.
CGUGUAGGCGGAUUAGCAAGUCAAAUGUGAAAACCAGCGGCUUAACCGCUGGCCUGCAUUUGAAACUGUUGAUCUUGAGUACGGGAGAGGAAAGUGGAAUUCCUGGUGUAGCGGUGAAAUGCGUAGAUAUCAGGAGGAACACCGGUGGCGAAGGCGGCUUUCUGGCCCGAUACUGACGCUGAGGCGCGAAGGGCCGGGGGAGCAAACA